AGUGAACGCUGGCGGUAGGCCUAACACAUGCAAGUCGAACGGCAGCACAGGGGAGCUUGCUCUCUGGGUGGCGAGUGGCGGACGGGUGAGGAAUACAUCGGAAUCUACUCUGUCGUGGGGGAUAACGUAGGGAAACUUACGCUAAUACCGCAUACGACCUACGGGUGAAAGCAGGGGCCCUUCGGGCCUUGCGCGAUUGAAUGAGCCGAUGUCGGAUUAGCUAGUUGGCGGGGUAAAGGCCCACCAAGGCGACGAUCCGUAGCUGGUCUGAGAGGAUGAUCAGCCACACUGGAACUGAGACACGGUCCAGACUCCUACGGGAGGCUGCAGUGGGGAAUAUUGGACAAUGGGCGCAAGCCUGAUCCAGCCAUACCGCGUGGGUGAAGAAGGCCUUCGGGUUGUAAAGCCCUUUUGUUGGGAAAGAAAUCCAGCUGGCUAAUACCCGGUUGGGAUGACGGUACCCAAAGAAUAAGCACCGGCUAACUUCGCGCCAGCCGCCGCCGUAA
Molecule: ribosomal RNA, 506 nt
Filed under: uncultured bacterium
Lineage: Bacteria
Description: partial 16S ribosomal RNA
Rfam family: Bacterial small subunit ribosomal RNA
Source: RNAcentral